RNAcentral lists this ribosomal RNA (920 nucleotides) under Triticum aestivum (bread wheat). RNAcentral describes it as "partial small subunit ribosomal RNA". The record is from RNAcentral. Lineage: Eukaryota; Viridiplantae; Streptophyta; Magnoliopsida; Poales; Poaceae.
GGAAAUUUGUAUACAGCUGAAGCCUGAAACUGCAGCAACAUCUAUCUUGUGCGCAAAGCUUUAACCGAGGGGUGAGGGCGCAGCUUUAUCUCCAAAGGUCUUUCACCUGACCGUAGGAUAGCCGUCGCCCGUUGAGGAUUGCAGUGGUUGAAGCUUCAGUUUCGUCGGACUUGAAUUUCCACUCUGAAAAUGAACCACCAUACCUGCAUCUCUGACUUUCUUAUGGGCGCAAAUGAGAUUGUGAGAACGACAACCACAACUCUGCUCAAAGACAACCAGUAAUGUAUUUCCCAACACACCCUGAACUUGCUUUUACAGAUUAUUACAAUUCCUCUACUAACCUGGUACUAUAGACAUCAUUAACUCAACUAGUAGUGAUGUAUUUCCCAUCUCCUGCAUCACUGCUAUGAUUACCACGCCAUCCAAGUGCAGUAUCAGGAUCAGUCAUGCAAACCAUACCUGCUAGUUUACUGAAACUGAAAUUGUCAGGGAACUCGUGAACCAUCCCGACUUGCUUGCAUACUGCAGGUCAGGCUUCCAUUACCUACAAUACCACAGCAUUUUCUGGGGAAGCAGUUACCCACAACUUGAACUCUUUUCUUGAGAAUUAUGGUACAUGAGGCCUUUCAUUCAAAGCUUCCUAUACACUCACUUCCCUCUGGGAAUGUAAGUUAUAACACCGACCUUGUACAGCUAGGAAUCAAAUUACAACUGCCCAGAUUCUCUAAGGAUUCAUUCCAAAGCUUGCCACAUUGUGUAACGAUUCGGUAUUCGGCUAAGACAGUCUGUGCAACUUCUACUCACUUCAUUCACUACUACUCGAUGUAAAAUAUUAGGAGACCAUGACAGUUCUAAUGCAAACGAUACAGAGGAACUAACUGCAGUCCCCUCCACAUUUUCUCAUCCGGGCUUGGGACCGG